ACUCAGGAAUAAUAGGUUUGUUUGACUCGAGGUCUCUCGUGCUCCUCGGGAGUUGAAAGAGUUGAGAGCAAGUUGACCUGAGGGAAAAAAGAGUCAGUAACUUUUAAUACACGAAGAAAACGCGAUUUGUUGUAAAACAAUGAUGGCGGAAAAUAUAGCAGACAUCGUGAGAAAUUUGUUUGGAAAUGGAAGGUUCAUCUGAAGAUGAAGUAGCUAUUGAUUUACCAUAUAUUGGACUACAAAUUAUGAGAGAGCUUGAUAAAGGUAAAAAAAAAUAUAUAAUUAUUGCUUUUUGACUUUAAACCGCCUGUGGUAUGCAUAAGCUAACCUGUACUAGGAAACUAUUGCAAAUCUUUUGAUUGUUAAAUAAAGGACGCCGAAUAAGUUAUAUUGUAAUGUUUUUCCGCUUCAAUGUCGUCAUCUAUUAAAAUAUUACCGUCAUCACCAAAUGUAGCUUGAUAACAUAUUGACUCCAUCGUCAAAGUCGCGCCAAAACAACCAGCAGACGACUUGCCCUCGCAACUCUUCCUCGAGAGGAGGAGCAUCGAGAGCAUGACCUGAGUGACCUGAGAGCAACUUGCCCCCGCGAGUAAAACGACCAUCCACCAAACUGCUUCCGGAAAAGGGAGACCUAAGAUGCACAUAAGGGUUUGGACCCUGCCCGAACUUACCCGAACAAUUCACAUUCGGCCAACCUCGAGUUUAUUUUGAUCCUUCAGAUACAAAAAUAUAAACACGGCUAUAUCAUUCACAUAAUAGAUAUAGAACUUUUCAGGCAUGAGAAGAAAUGAGACCAUUAGCUUUACAGUAAACCCCUUGGACACUCCAUGGAAAAGAAGAAUUUAUAUUAAUUAUACUCAUUAUAACUAUGCUUUUUUCAUUGCACGCAGAAUGUUUUUUUUUGUGUCAUUUAAUUGAUAGUUAUUAAGAAAGUUGGAAUAAAAAUAGGUUUGUGGAAUAAAAAAGGAAGUGUA
This is a long non-coding RNA of Bacillus rossius redtenbacheri, 974 nucleotides long. RefSeq lists it as uncharacterized. Lineage: Eukaryota; Metazoa; Arthropoda; Insecta; Phasmatodea; Bacillidae. The record is from RefSeq and is a predicted model, not a curated record. The transcript has 2 exons.